AGGGUAGAGGUGCGUUGUUUAUCAGUAUUUUACGUUAGGGUGAUACCAAUAAUCGUAAAAGAAAGGAACCAACGCCGAAGUAAGAGAAGGCAUAUCAUGCACUUUUACUGGGGUUACAUUCGAAUAGAAGUAACACUGCCAUAGUCUUUUUAACUAUGGAGCGCUACUGUG
Molecule: non-coding RNA, 171 nt
Filed under: fish gut metagenome
Description: Lysine riboswitch
Rfam family: Lysine riboswitch aptamer
About the family: Riboswitches are metabolite binding domains within certain messenger RNAs that serve as precision sensors for their corresponding targets. Allosteric rearrangement of mRNA structure is mediated by ligand binding, and this results in modulation of gene expression.
Source: RNAcentral